AAUAUAAUUACCUUUGUACAAUAAAGGAAGUUAAGAAAUACCUUUGAACCAAAUAAAGAAACAAUAAAUACAUAUCAAAAAAGUCAGCAGAUACAUUUGAAACAAAAAAGGAAGACAAGAAAUACCUUUGAACAGAAAAAAAAAACAGUAUAUACGUUUCCAUCUACUAUAUAUAUUGUAUACUCUACUUGGCCCAUAAAAACAAAAAUCAUCAAAUCCCAAAAACACAAUCCAUAAUGGCUUCCUCUACAAAUUGCAAAGUCGUUUUGACACCAAUCAUGUUUCUGUUAAUUCUCCUCACAAAAGCGUCGUUUGGUCUUUCAGCUCUAGUGAACGAAACGGUGAUGCCAAAGGACGUACUCACAUCCAAACAAGUCGUGAUCAUUAACAAAUUAGGCAUACGCCAAACACUAGAUCUGCAUUGUAAGAACGGGGAGAAAGAUCUAGGGCCGGUUUCGCUCGUACCUGGAGAUAGGUUUGCGUUUAAGUUUCUCUCAAGUACCUUGCUACCCACAACGUACACUUGCAGUUUCCAGUGGCCUGACGCAGGUAAGGAGUUGUUGUUCGACAUUUUCACGACGAGUAGAGACGCCAGCGUUUGUGAUUUAUGCAUUUGGUACGUUCUCGACAGUUUGAUAUGUCGGGUGCGACCUGAUAAGGAAGAGCCUACCUUCUGUCACUAUUGGAAUCUUAGUAGAUCUUAACUAAAAAAUUAUUAAUGUUUACUAUUGAAUCAUAUAAAUUAUAAAAGUAAUAAAAUAAAUCAGAUCGUUUGGUAUAGAAUACUAGAGUGAUAUCAUACUGUUAAAUUGUUAAUAAUAUGUCGGAUGCGACGUGACAAGGAAGAACCUACUUACUGUGAUAUCUUGAAUCCUAAUAGUAGAUUUUAACAACAACAACAAAACAAUAGUGUUUUCUAUAUAUUUUAUUGAAACUAAUAUACAGUAAGUUAUGAAAUUAUUAAAACAAAUCAGAUCGUAGAAUACUAAUGUAUGCCACAACAACCAUACAUUAGUGGUGAAAAAUAUUACGACGUUCCGAUUAGAUAGCGUAGGAUCCAUUUUAGUGAUCUUAGGUGUUACUAGAUUUCGUCGUUGUACGUCGGGUUAAAAUCGUGUGGCUGUAAUCCUGUAUUCACUUUGGUUAAUGAAAAUUGUUGAUGAAUAAAAAAAAAAGAAUACUAAUGUAUGGAAUAGUUGAUGAAAUUUCUUAGAGAGUAGCUAAAUUUUCAUUAAGGCCGUUCGUUUUUAUAUCCAUACAUUGCAUCUAAACAACUUAACGCUCAUUACACCUGGAUCAGUGCCGUGCCUGAAUUGAGUGAAGUCAAUGAAGCAUGUGCUUAGGACUGAACAUGUAUUUAUAUUUGUCGGCGCCAAUGUUAACAGGAAAUUCUUAUAGGUCUAUUGGUAACAGCUGAUGUUUGUCGGAGUCACAGACCCGAGUUCAAAACUUCCUCGCUACAUUUUUUAGUUUUUUUAAUGAUUUUUAAAAGUAGAUGGGCCAAAUUUGGCUUCUGGGCCUGAUCUGAAUACAAAUAUUAAUUUUAAAAACAAACACCAUUUGAAUGUAAUAUCUACAUGUUAUAGUCACAUACUAAAUUUACAUGCUGCAUCAAAUACAAAAAUGAAUAUUGUGUCCAAGUUUAUAUUGAUUUCGACUUCCGAUGAAACUAGGGAAGCUUAGCAACCUCUCAUGAGCUACCGUACUGUCACUCGCAGAUACGCUACAGUCAUUUUAUUUAUAUGUAUUAUAACAGCAUUAUCAAGUCUUCUUUAUCAACAACAAGGGAUUCCAUUUUCGUAAUUAAACAUAGCUGUUCUGUUUAUAAACUUGGAAGUUCAUGAUUUGGGAGAUGUCUGUGUUCUGUAACAGGGGGACCACUAGUUGUCCCAUGGUUGAAGCAGUCUAUCAACCAACUGGUACACAGAAACGAAUCUCUGGAAACCAAGAACUUGCUGAAACAUAUUUAACAUUGAUGCCAACCUCUAUCACCUAGAUGUGCAGAAUACUUAGCCAUGGUCAGCUCAAAUCUGAACGUUUCUGUUUCUCUUGGCAGUGGCACAUGAUCAUGACCCACUUCUAUAACUUAUUUGACGACCAAAGCAUUACAAAUGAUCAAUUCUGAGCAAUCUGUGAAUGUAACUUGUCGGUAUUUCUCGUCGUAAGACUGCUGUUCCAAGCUGUUAUCUAUAUUGUUUGGAAGGAGAGAAACUCGAGAUUGCACACGGGUCUGUGCAGACCUCCGCAGGCUAUUAUUCAGGAAAUCCAGCAAGUCAUUAAGCUCAGAUUGGACCCUUUGUCUCGCAGUAUGAGAGCGCCUUACUCAGCAACAACAAUAACUCCUCUUGGUUUUUGGUUAAGUAUUUUUUGAGGGAUCUUUUUUGUAAAGUCCCUGUAUCCCAUUGUUGGGUGAUUUUUUUGUAAAGUUAAGCUUAGCGCUAACUGGUCUGUUUAGUGCAGAUUUGUAAUCGAUACCUUUGGUUACUUUUAUAUAUAAAAAGAAAGUAGGAUGUUGGAAAAAAAAAAAAAAAAAAAAACUUGUCGGUAUUUCUUCAUUUUACCAUCUGAGGCCAUCUCCCUUUCAGGUGGUGCAGCAAUGAUGCUAAAUCCAGUUAUCUUUGUCUGCUUCAGAAACAUAAACAAUAAGUCGAAAAGAUCGGUUCCAUUCAACCGUUGGGUGAAUAUAGCGGCAUCCCUCGGGGGUCCCACUACGGGAUUAAUGAUGCUACGGCCAGGUUCCUAUUAGAGAUAACCGGAAUUGUAUAGUUGGUUUAGCUUAAACCAUGUAACUAAACCGGCUCUUCUGUAUAUAUAUAAACAGAGUAACUAACUCUGUAACAGAAUAACAGAAUACAUUUCAUUCACAUUUCUAUCUUCUUCAUCGUCUCUAACAGUUCCAUGUCAAAGACGUGUACCUGAUUUGAACGGUCAACGAUUCUGGAUCGUAGCUUGUUGAUGUUCCAUCGACUGAGUCAACUCGCUCCGUUGAAUCGGCAAGCUUCUUCAAUCUCUCGUCGUCCAUUUCAGUCACCGUCGUCGAUCCCAACAGUCAAACCGCACCAAUUUGAGAAAGAAGAUCCAAACUCCAAGCAAGCAUGGUCUCUCGAUUUGAUUUAAAGUUGGGAUCAAAUCAAAUCUGAACUUUAAUUUAUCAUAUAACCUAAACUUCCUUGGAGUUAGUUGGUGGCACGUGACCCCGAUAAUCGUCCGCCCACACCAUCACGUGAUAUGAUUCAUUUUCAGUUCAAGCUCCGACACAACGGCGACUUUGUUCCGUCGGACAGCCUCGUGUGGCUUGUCCGGGAGCUGCAGGAAAAAAAAUGUGUAUUUUUCGUUAACCCAUUUUAUGACAAGUCGUGGACUGCUCAAGGCCGCCGUCCAUUCCUCAUAAUAAUAAGCCCCCUUAGCCUUAACCACGUCUGCUAGAAAGAAAGAGAGCUUCGUCAAGCGAUCCUCUUCUCUGAGUGUUAGAUAUCAUAUAUUGUUACGAUUGAAUAGUUCCUAUAUCUCAGGGAAUAUUCCUUAUGGUUGUAACUGUCUGGCCUUUAUAUGUAACGAUGAAUACAAAGUAUGAUUUCAGGGGAAACUCAUUGACUUACCGAUGUGGAUCUUUGAACUCUCAAAGUUAUUAAGGAUCAGACAAGUGUUAUCUCUCGUUCUCUAUUUCUUGCUUGACACUCAAUAUAUUGCUUUAUUCUUAUAUAACAGAAACCACAUGUCUUUAUUAGAUAUUUAGACACGUACAUACACAUGUGUAACUGUUUUGCAGUUAACAAUUAUAUUUGUAUAUGUUCGGUGUGUGAUACGAAUACAUCAAUUAAUUACUUAACUAUAUAAUAUAUAUGACUCUUCUAAACUAAUAAUAUAAGAUGAAGACUUGAUCACAUCCAACAACCGAGUGAUCGAAACCGAGAUUGGAUUCGUUGAUGAUUACGAUCGAGUAAUCCCUUCCUUUCAUCGUUUUCAUCUCAAUUCUGUUUUUGAUUUUGUGUGAAGCUUGAAGAAACGCCAUGGAAGACAGACAAGCCAGGAGCUAAGAUCGUGUCAUUGACUAGAGACUACCAAGGAGAGAGAGUGUUAUAGUUUGAAGUAUACAUGACUAAUCUUGUGACAGGUGAUAAAGGAGAUGAGGAAGAAGCCUAAGCAAUCUAAUGUGCCUCUCUUAGUCAGUAACAACUUUCUAACAAAACAUGGCCAAGUUUGGAUCAGUUGGUAUGUACUACUUUUCCGGACAAGAUUGUGUUCAAGGACAUGUGGGUGAUCUGAAGGCUGGUGGUGUCGAGAAACUGUUUUCACGAGGGUCCUCCGUUGUUAGGAAGCAAAAGGAACGGGAAGAAAGGUGGAGAGCUUAUGAGAAUUGAUAAUGGUCAUGGUUGAUUAAAAGGACUGGAUUUGAAGCAGAGUAUUCUUAUCUCAUUUAUGUUGUUCGACUGGUCAGGGUGAUACACGGGUCACUUACAUGUUUGUACAACAUAGUGACGUUUACCUUAUGAUAGCAUCCACGCAGAACUGUAAUGCUGGUAGUCUUCUCUCCUUCCUUGCUUUUAAGGCGUACGCAUAAUUGUAUUGCUGUUGCAUAUGAUGGAAAUGGUGAUCUUUAUAGGUCUUUAAACAUUAUUGUGAGGAGUUAGAGGAAGAAUCUCCAAGGUUUACUUUGUCCUAGUGGUAUGUUACUUCUGCCACACCUCUUGUACUAUACUGUCUGAAGAAAGUUUUUCUAUGGUUUGAUGUUCAAAUUGAUUUAUGGUGAUGGCUGUAUGCAUUACUUGAUGAGAUGACUGACUUUGGGUACCCUCACUCAGUAUAUGGAAGCAAGAAUCCUCAAUGAAUUCAUAUUCCAUUCUCUUUUUGGGUGGUGGAUUUGGUUAUGCCAAGGAUACCUUGACCGGAGAAGCAUACAAUUGGUGGAAUCAGCUAGAUGCUAAUAGGAUCUAUUUCAAUGAUCCAGCCUUUACUUGGAAAGAGGUGAAGAUGGUCAUGUAUACUGAGUUUGUGGAAAGAGCACAACACAUUCAGAAGGCGUCCACCAGGAGACUAGUAAAACCACAAGUCUUGCAACCAGCAACUCAAAGAGAGGCUGUUCCCCAAAGACAAAGUUCAAGGCCAGUGCAUAAACCUCAAGUCAAGCGAACACAAGGUGAGUACUCUAGUACUUCUAAACCACCUGAGGUCAUCUGUUAUAGGUGUCAAUCCCCUGGUCAUCUAGCAAAAGAUUGCCCCACAAAAUGAUUUGUGAGGUCCGCACAUCUUGAACCAAAAUCUGAAGUAAGUGAUUCCUUUACUAAAAUGGAUAAUUCAUUAACUAGAAUAGAUAAACUUUGUGAUGAUCUUAUCAACAUGCUUAGGGCCGGAUCAAUGAAAGAAAAAUAACUUUUAGAUGCUAAAGAGCAACCCUCUAAUUAUAAACUUCAUGUAAAUAAGAAACAAGAAAUUGUUUCACCUUCUGAAAAUUUAGAGGAUCAAGUAGAAAGAUAUAAUUCUGUUUCUAGUAAUUCCAUGACUGUCUUAACACACUUGUCUAGUGCCCAAAAGGUUGAAAACAUUUCAGGUACUACCAUGGAAAUCAAGGAACAAGCACCCAUCCUUGCUGCGGAAGCAAUGCCAACACUUGAUAAGGUGAUUUCUGAACUUAAUGUGAUCAAUCCUACUUAUCAAAACACUGGUAUGAUGCACUUGCACUAUGUCCGGAAUGUUGAUGAAGGUCUAGGUAUGGAGGAACCAUGUCCAGAAGCUCACCAACCUGAGGAGCAUGAGCAAUAUACCCGAGACAUUUCCUCACCAGCUGAUCAUGCAUUAAAGAUGACAAAUACCAAAGCUGAAGUAACGAAGGUACUCUAGAAGAAAACAAGAUUUUAGACAAAAUGCAUAGGCAGAGAAGGUUGCUGAUGUGGAAAAGCUCACUCAGGCAGUAACAGAGCUGGAAGAGGCUGUUCUUGCAGGUGGUUCUGCUGCAAAUGCCGUUAGAGAAUACAAGCGAAAAAUUCCAAGGGAUAAAUGUAAACUAACCACACUUUCACAAGACUGUCAUAAAAAAGAGACAUAAAGUCUUUUAGUUUUCUUGGCAUAUAAAUUCAAUUCUUGCUGUGUUUUUCAGGAAGAGAGGAAAACUCUAGACAGGGAGUUAGCACGUGCAAAGGUUACAGCAAACAGAGUUGCCACCGUUGUAGCAAAUGAGUGGAAAGAUGGUAACGAUAAAGUGAUGCCUGUGAAGCAAUGGCUUGAAGAAAGAAGGUUUCUACAGGGAGAAAUGCAGCAACUUCGCGAUAAGCAUGCCAUAACAGACCGAGCUGUUAAAUCCGAAGCACAGUUAAAGGUAUAAUGGAUCUUAUGUACUAGAGGUCAUUAGCUUAACUGGAAUUUUUAGCCAUCGG
Molecule: RNA transcript, 6371 nt
Organism: Brassica rapa (field mustard)
Lineage: Eukaryota; Viridiplantae; Streptophyta; Magnoliopsida; Brassicales; Brassicaceae
Gene name: microtubule-associated protein 70-2
Source: RefSeq, a predicted model, not a curated record